This 1522-nucleotide ribosomal RNA is filed under the name metagenome. RNAcentral describes it as "bacterial LSU rRNA". It matches the Rfam family "Bacterial large subunit ribosomal RNA", at positions 1336 to 2925 of the family's 2925-position model. The record is from RNAcentral.
GUCGAAAAUCUAAGGUUUCUUGAGGAAGGUUCGUCCGCUCAAGGUAAGCCGGGAGCUAAGGCGAGGCCGAGAGGCGUAGUCGAUGCACAUACGGUAAAGAUUCCGUAGCCACCGAAGUCGUUAAAUACAGGGACACAGGAACAUAGCCUAACCCCGCCGUUGGUUGAGUGGGGCGUAAGGGAGCGAAAAUUAGUAGCGAAGUAGGUGAUUGUACACUGGCGGGAAAAGCUGUAUGUAUUGAUAAGGUGCCCGUACCGCAAACCGACACAGGUAGAUGAGGAGAGAAUCCUAAGACCAGCGGGAGAAGUGUUGUUAAGGAACUCGGCAAAAUGACCCCGUAACUUCGGGAUAAGGGGAGCCUACGCGAGUAGGCCGCAGAGAAUAGUCUCAAGCGACUGUUUAGCAAAAACACAGGUCUAUGCUAAAUCGAAAGAUGAUGUAUAUGGGCUGACGCCUGCCCGGUGCUGGAAGGUUAAGGGGAAGUGUUAGAGCAAUCGAAGCACUGAACUUAAGCCCCAGUAAACGGCGGCCGUAACGAUAACGGUCCUAAGGUAGCGAAAUUCCUUGUCAGGUAAGUUCUGACCCGCACGAAUGGCGUAACGACUUGAGAGCUGUCUCAACAACAUACCCGGCGAAAUUGAAGUACUGGUAAAGAUGCCAGUUACCCGUGAUAAGACGGAAAGACCCCAUGGAGCUUUACUGUAACUUGAUAUUGAAUUUUUGUAUUACAUGUACAGGAUAGGUGGGAGACAGAGAACUAAUGCCGCCAGGUGUUAGGGAGUCGAUGUUGGGAUACCACUCUUGUAAUAUGAAGGUUCUAACCUGCACCCGUGAAUCCGGGUGGGGGACACUGUCAGGUGGACAGUUUGACUGGGGCGGUCGCCUCCUAAAAGGUAACGGAGGCGUUCAAAGGUUGGCUCAGCACGGACGGAAAUCGUGCAACGAGUGCAAACGCAUAAACCAGCCUAACUGCGAGACCGACAAGUCGAGCAGUAACGAAAGUUGGAGUUAGUGAUCCGGCGGUAUGAGAGUGGAAUUGCCGUCGCUCAACGGAUAAAAGCUACCCUGGGGAUAACAGGCUGAUCUCCCCCAAGAGUCCACAUCGACGGGGAGGUUUGGCACCUCGAUGUCGGCUCAUCGCAUCCUGGAGCUGUAGUCGGUUCCAAGGGUUGGGCUGUUCGCCCAUUAAAGCGGUACGCGAGCUGGGUUCAGAACGUCGCGAGACAGUUCGGUCCCUAUCUAUCACGGGCGUAGGAAAUUUGAGGAGAGCUGACCUUAGUACGAGAGGACCGGGUUGGACGUACCGCUGGUGCACCUGUUGUUCUGCCAAGGGCAUAGCAGGGUAGCUAAGUACGGACGGGAUAAACGCUGAAGGCAUCUAAGCGUGAAGCCCCCUUCGAGAUAAGAUUUCCCAUAGCGUAGGCUAGUAAGGACCCAUGAAGACUACAUGGUUGAUAGGCCGGAGGUGGAAGUGCAGUAAUGUAUGUAGCUGACCGGUACUAAUAGUCCGAGGGCUUGACCG